AUAUGUAUAUGAUCCAGAUUUUCUUGUAAAAAAAUAAAUUUAAGUAAACAAGAACAAUAAUAUCAAGGUCAUUAGAUAUUUGGGUUGCACUCUAACAGUGCUUUGAGGUGUGGUUCCCUUAUUUUUCUUGUUCUGAAAUCCUUUCAGCUUUCUAAUUAUUAUUUUUCUUUAUAAAAAAAGGAUCUAUUUGUGAGUUUGUUUGCUGAAGGAAAUUUUUGGCACAUCCAGCUUGUUCAUUAAAGAAAACAAUCAUGAGCUGCUUCAGCUGUUGCAUAGAAGAUGAUACGCACAAGGCUGCUGAUAAUGGACCAUUCAUGACAAAUACAGCAGGCAACAAUGGAGGUUAUCAUGCUGCUGAAGCUGCACCGAAGGACACAAAAACUGUAGAUGUUCAGCCUAUUGCUGUCCCCUCCAUCCCAGUGGAUGAAUUGAAGGAAAUAACAGACAACUUUGGUACAAAAUUUUUAUCAGUUUCUUUAUGACUUAACAGGUUUCAAUGGUAUCAAGACUGAAACAUGAAAAUGUUGUUGAGCUUCUUGGUUAUUCUGUUGAUGGCGGUCUCCGAGUCCUUGCAUAUGAGUAUGCUUCGAAUGGAUCUCUUCAUGAUAUUCUCCAUGGUAAGUAAUGUCAAUUUUUUCCUUUUCUAAGUGGACUCUUAUUCCUGGACAACACCACUACCGCAUGGAGAAGGGUUAAAUUAUUUUUGAAGUGUCUACUCUCAAGUGACUGUUAAGUUAAUUUUUGGUCUUUUUAAGUAUGAAGGUUUGUUACUUUGCCAAUCAGUAUAUUUGAGGCCUUUUUAUGGUUAGUUCUUGCAAGCUUAAAGAAUGGUUGACUGCAGCCUCUUGCUAGAAAAUGAAUUCGAGAAAGGAUGUAUUGCUCUGUUCUUACAAAGAUACAUGAUGCUGUCAUUUAGAACUGUUCAAGUAUUGCCUCAGAGCAACUAAAAUCUCCAGAGAGUAAUACGUAGAAGUCACUUCCCUUUCAUGGAUCUAGCCCCCUUAAGCCAAUAGUGCCCAUGUAUUUAAGUGUAUUUCUAUUUUAACUUGAUAAUUUUUUUAAUCCUUUAGUGGCAAUAGAACAUGACUUCAGAACUAAAAAAUGUGUCUUAUAGGUUCAGCACCAUCUAAUAAGCUUUGUCACAUAAAAUACAAGCUCACAAAAGUAUAAUUGAAAAGCAUUCAUGUGUCCGACCUCAUUUUAUUGGGACACAAGACACAGUUUGGUUUGUUUUGGCUUUGAAAUGUUGCUUGUUUACUGAAUUGUCAUAGUAUCUGAUAGGGAAGUAUGUCAUAGGCAUCCUUUGAUAGUUCAAACCCUGGAAUCCCUCAUUCAAAAAUGUAGCAAUCAUUCAGUUAUUGAACCUGGGGAUGGGGCUGAAGGGUAAAAGAACCAAAUAGUAGAUGAAUCCACUGAUUGUCCCCUCCCCAAAACACCAAUUACAGGUGUUUGACAAUCUUUCUGGUCUGCCCUGUCUGUUAAGUUAAUUUUUGUCAGUGUCAUUCUUGCAUGUUUUGUCUUUCCAUAUGCCUCCUAAGAGACUUUUCUACUUCAGCAGCGCUUUAGGUGAGUUGUCCUUAUAUGCAGAAUUCAAUGUGUCAUCUUUUCUACUUCAGGACUUUGCAAUUAUUUACAAUGGAUUCUUAUUUUAGGGAAUUGACAUUAAAGAAAUGCUUGCUAGUGCAUCAUUGAUGGAUGAGGCAAAUAGGACCACCGUGCCUUGCAAAGGAUGGUCCAUC
Molecule: non-coding RNA, 1739 nt
Organism: Camellia sinensis
Lineage: Eukaryota; Viridiplantae; Streptophyta; Magnoliopsida; Ericales; Theaceae
Source: RefSeq, a predicted model, not a curated record